This 253-nucleotide ribosomal RNA is filed under the name uncultured bacterium. RNAcentral's name for it is "partial 16S ribosomal RNA". It matches the Rfam family "Bacterial small subunit ribosomal RNA", at positions 524 to 776 of the family's 1533-position model. The record is from RNAcentral.
UACGUAGGUGACAAGCGUUGUCCGGAUUUACUGGGCGUAAAGAGCGCGCAGGCGGUCGAUCAAGUCGAGUGUGAAAGCCCCCGGCUCAACUGGGGAGGGUCAUUCGAUACUGAUCGACUCGAAGGCAGGAGAGGGUAGUGGAAUUCCCGGUGUAGUGGUGAAAUGCGUAGAUAUCGGGAGGAACACCAGUGGCGAAGGCGACUACCUGGCCCAUUCUUGACGCUGAGGCGCGGAAGCUAGGGGAGCGAACGGG